GACGAACGCUGGCGGCGUGCUUAACACAUGCAAGUCGAACGGUGAAGGGACCGGUUUUUGCUGGUUCUGGAUGAGUGGCGAACGGGUGAGUAACACGUGAGUAACCUGCCCCCUUCUUCUGGAUAACCGCAGGAAAGUGUGGCUAAUACGGGAUAUUCUGCGCCUGCUGCAUGGUGGGGGUGGUAAAGAUAUUGUUUCGGUGGGGGGUGGGCUCGCGGCCUGUUAGUUUGUUGGUGGGGUGAUGGCCUACCAAGGCGGUGACGGGUAGCCGGCGUGAGAGGGUGGACGGUCACGCUGGGAGUGAGACACGGCGCAGACUAGUACGGGAGGCAGCAGUGGGGAAUAUUGCACGAUGGGAGCAAGCCUGAUGCAGCGACGGCGCGUGAGGGAUGGAGGCCGUCGGGUUGGAAACCUCUUUCGCCAGUGAAGCAGGCCUGUCCCUUUUGUGGGUGGGUUGACGGUAGCUGGAUAAGAAGCGCCGGCUAACUACGU
Molecule: ribosomal RNA, 492 nt
Filed under: uncultured bacterium
Lineage: Bacteria
Description: partial 16S ribosomal RNA
Rfam family: Bacterial small subunit ribosomal RNA
Source: RNAcentral